Molecule: small RNA, 60 nt
Filed under: Arabidopsis thaliana (thale cress)
Lineage: Eukaryota; Viridiplantae; Streptophyta; Magnoliopsida; Brassicales; Brassicaceae
Description: ATSL270870
Source: RNAcentral
CCUAUUCCCAACAAGCAGAUUACUCAGACAUAUUGAAUGAAACAAGCAACAUAUUUGGGU